This 30-nucleotide non-coding RNA is filed under the name Rattus norvegicus (Norway rat). The record is from RNAcentral. Lineage: Eukaryota; Metazoa; Chordata; Mammalia; Rodentia; Muridae.
UGCACAUGUAUAAGUAGUUGGCGCACAUCU